Non-coding RNA from Bombyx mori (domestic silkworm), 84 nucleotides. The record is from Rfam. NCBI's taxonomy places the organism in Eukaryota, Metazoa, Arthropoda, Insecta, Lepidoptera, Bombycidae.
UUAGCUCUUAUUUGUAUGGAGUUGGGACGUUUGUCUACGUUUGCCGCUAGGGGCACUGUCCCAACUGCAUACAAAUGUGAGUUA